This is a non-coding RNA of Megalopta genalis, 955 nucleotides long. The record is from RefSeq and is a predicted model, not a curated record. NCBI's taxonomy places the organism in Eukaryota, Metazoa, Arthropoda, Insecta, Hymenoptera, Halictidae.
UCUCUCUUCUCUCCGAGCUCUCUCGGCCGUUUGCGACGCAGAUCGAUCCGAUCCGAUCCGAUCCGAUCUGCCGCGGCUUCUUUGCCGAUCUCCCGUGGGCCUGACAAUAUACCAUAGACAUAGACCAAAUUCAACGGUCGUAUUCAAAUUUCUCCGAUUUGACCCCGCUGUGUUCCCUCGUUCGCGCUAGAUAACCGACUUGCCGGAAAUUUAUGCGGUCGAUUCGUUUGUUUACUCUGUUCCUGUGAUCUCGGCGACGAGAUACAGCCACUUUGGUAAAUCGUUUUUGUACUUUUUUUCAUUUUAUUUAGUCGAAGCUUUCUAAUCUCUAUCUUUACGGCCAAUGUUUUUUCGUGAAUUAACUAGCUAGAAUCGUGUAUCGCUAAUUUGCACUCUUUUCCUUUUUUUUCAAGCGACGAGACUGCGUCCGACGGAUUGCGACAGAUACAUCCGGAAAUGAUGAUAAUACUGAGUAACAGUUGAAACACGGAAAUUCAGGAGAUUCGUCCGAUGAUUUUGAGAAACCGGAAUCAAGAGGAAAUCUACCGGCAGCUGGGGCAAAAAUAGGUCAACGCUGGAGCACAAAAAGUGUCACAAUUUUUUUCUUUUUUGUAAAACUAACGAAGAGGGUAUCGAGACUCGAAACCAAAGAAAGUCAGUUCAUCGGAUAAAUUUACCAUGAAAGUAUUAUUUAUACGAGGCAUUUCGGGAUGGUGCUAUCGUUGUGUAAACGCGAGAUGCCAUUGGUCCACGGGAUCCAGGCAACAGAUCCUCGAUCUCAAGAUCGCCGGAAGAGGCUCGGCGGCCGGAGCAUCGCCUACCGUUAAUAUAGUACACGUUAAUAGAAAAUUGGCGACACCGGUUUCUCCGGAAAGGGGUGUCGCAGGUUCCGCUACUAAAAUACCAUAGAAACCUGUGUUCCUCUGAGGAUUAAAUAAAUACGCUAUUUACCGUG